RNAcentral lists this ribosomal RNA (253 nucleotides) under uncultured bacterium. Its description in RNAcentral is "partial 16S ribosomal RNA". It matches the Rfam family "Bacterial small subunit ribosomal RNA", at positions 524 to 776 of the family's 1533-position model. The record is from RNAcentral.
UACGGGGGGGGCAAGCGUUGUUCGGAAUUACUGGGCGUAAAGGGUUUGUAGGUGGCCCGCUAAGUCACACGUGAAAUCCCUCAGCUUAACUGGGGAACUGCGUGUGAGACUGGCAGGCUCGAGGGCAGGAGAGGAACGCGGAAUUCCAGGUGUAGCGGUGAAAUGCGUAGAUAUCUGGAGGAACACCUGUGGUGUAGACAGCUUACUGGACCAUCACUGACGCUGAGACACGAAAGCGUGGGUAGCAAACAGG